Myotis brandtii (Brandt's bat) is the source of this 76-nucleotide non-coding RNA. NCBI's taxonomy places the organism in Eukaryota, Metazoa, Chordata, Mammalia, Chiroptera, Vespertilionidae. The record is from Rfam.
GGCAGUUCUCGGGUGAUGCACCCUGGAACCAGAGAGGAGGGAGCCCGAUACCGGGGUGCGUUACCUGAGAACCGCC